This 147-nucleotide ribosomal RNA is filed under the name Triticum aestivum (bread wheat). RNAcentral's name for it is "partial small subunit ribosomal RNA". Lineage: Eukaryota; Viridiplantae; Streptophyta; Magnoliopsida; Poales; Poaceae. The record is from RNAcentral.
AUGAAUGUUGCUACUGGGGUGAAGGAGAACAUCCAGCUCAUGAGGGGGCUUCACGUGGUCGACGAUAUCCACUACCUUGAUUGUCGUGAGGCGCUCGUGUGGAAGUGCAAGAGGGACUACGAGGAAUCGAAUAAGUACAAGGAAUAG